ACGGGGGGGGCAAGCGUUGUUCGGAAUUACUGGGCGUAAAGGGCCAGUAGGCGGCCAACUAAGUCGGAUGUGAAAUCCCCAGGCUUAACCUGGGAACUGCAUCCGAUACUGGAUGGCUUGAAUUCGGGAGAGGGAUGCAGAAUUCCAGGUGUAGCGGUGAAAUGCGUAGAUAUCGGGAGGAACACCAGUGGCGAAGGCGACUUCCUGGCCUGUUCUUGACGCUGAGGCGCGAAAGCUGGGGGAGCAAACGGGA
RNAcentral lists this ribosomal RNA (253 nucleotides) under uncultured prokaryote. Its description in RNAcentral is "partial 16S ribosomal RNA". It matches the Rfam family "Bacterial small subunit ribosomal RNA", at positions 525 to 777 of the family's 1533-position model. The record is from RNAcentral.